This 724-nucleotide long non-coding RNA is filed under the name Ricinus communis (castor bean). Its description in RNAcentral is "long non-coding RNA (RCOM_LNC003301)". Lineage: Eukaryota; Viridiplantae; Streptophyta; Magnoliopsida; Malpighiales; Euphorbiaceae. The record is from RNAcentral.
UCUUGAAUCAAUGUCCGUGCAUUGCCCCCCGUGUCAUCCGAUCGGGUUCCCCCUAGUUGGAUGAGUUGAGUGAGUAAAUAAAGUAGAAUCAGUUGAUUCUUUUAGUGCAAUAGAGCUCCUUUUUUGUGACAAAAUAGCAUUUAGGAUAAAUCUAAUAAUCUAUGCAAGUAUAGUAUUAAACUUCUAAUGAAUGAGAAUAUCUCUACUGUAAUAUCAUUUUGUUAAUCCAUUUGCUUAACAUUCUUGUUAGAAGAAAGAAAACUUUGCGGAAACUAAGCUGCAACCUGAUCAUGUUCACUGAUUAGUUUGCCAUAAAGUGCAUUGUUGUGUUUUGGCUGCCAUGUAAUUUGCUAGUCCUUUUGGAGCCGGAGGUCUCAGUUUUUGAGAUUUUCUUUUCAUCCUUAUUGUUGUGUCUUCGCUUCCAUGUAAUUUGCUAGUUCUUUUGGAGCCAAGGUGUCAGUUUUGAUGAGGUUGAGGUGUCAGUUUCGAGAUUUUCUUUAUCUCUCGUGGGUUAAUUUUGGAUGGACUAAGACAGCUAAGUGUAGAAAUCUCUCACUAACACUACCAGCUAACAGUCCUGCUUUUAUCACUAACACUACCAGCUAACUGUCCUGCUUUUAUCACUAACACUACCAACUGCGGCUCUUGCCUCUGUGGGACACUAACAUGGGACACAAGUCUUCCUUUUGUUGGUUUCCUUGGUAAAUUAUGUAAAAUAAUAAAG